Molecule: long non-coding RNA, 5242 nt
Organism: Bos taurus (domestic cattle)
Lineage: Eukaryota; Metazoa; Chordata; Mammalia; Artiodactyla; Bovidae
Source: Ensembl
GACACAUUCACAAAAUAUUUCAAGGGGUGAGCUACCUCUGCAGAUGGUUCAUCACAUCUCUUCUGUCUUGAUUUUUCACUGCUUUAGUCUGAGGGCUGUGUUUCCCUGAGCCUCUUUUCUGGACUCAAUAACAUGAUUUAAUAGCUGAAAUUGUUAAUUUCUCUUCUGGAGAAAUAUCCCUUGGUGCCAGUUCAGGGCCUCACUGUUGAUUCAUCCUGCAAUUGUGCAUAUUCAGAAGCUCUUCCUUCUAAGGCUCAUGCUCUUCUCUGACAUUCAGAGCAUUUGCAAGAUUACUUUGUAGAAACUUAGUGGUUAGUGCUUAGCUUUCCUUUUCUAGUUAACAGCAGGUUGGUUAGUUUUCUACCCUCUGUCUUUAGUCCCUAGCCUAGGGACAAUGCUGUGCUCAUUUAGCCUUAGUCUUUCUGUGUUUGUUUUUUUUUUAUUCCAACAGCCUAUUUAUAAAGUUCCUCUCUGUGCUUUGAUUUCUCUUCUCUUGGAGGGAACAAAGGCUACAUAUUUCCUUGCUGCUGCUGCUAAGUCAUUUCAGUCGUGUCCAACUCUGUGCAACCCCUUGGUCGGCAGCCCACCAGGCUCCUCCGUCCCUGGGAUUCUCCAGGCAAGAUUACUGGAGUGGGUUGCCAUUUCCCUCUCCAAUGCAUGCAUGCAUGCUAAGUCUCUUCAGUUGUGUCCGACUCUGUGCGACCUCAUAGACGGCAGCCCACCAGGCUCCCCUGUCCAUAGGAUUCUCUAGGCAAGAACAGUGGAGUGGGUUGCCGUUUCCUUCAGGGCUUUUCAAAUAAUGUAGCUUGGCUCAGGUGUUGAAUGAGCUCCUAAAAGGAGGUUUAACCCAGUACUCUUUCCUUGGAGACCUUCAGCGGCUAUGAGUCUCACAGUGCACUGGACCUGGCAUGAUUUUACUGUCCCCUGGCUGGAUAGAGCUGCCACACUCCACCUGGCAACUCCUUUUAAAUUUGGAUUGAGUUUUGUGAGCCCUGAAGGCUAUUUUGGAUCCAACUGUAAGCUCCUGCCAGGACGGGGGUCUCUCUGCUUCCUUUGUAGUUUGCUCACACACCUCGGCUGUUACAUAUAGACUAUAGUUUACAUUUGUAACUCUACUAUUAACUGCCGCUACCACUUGUAUUGGCCAAAGCCAAAGAACUGAAAUAUUAAGAAGUGAAUCUUGGGAUUUCCCUGGCAGUCUGGUGGUUAAGACUCCGAGCUUCCACUGCAGGGGGCACGAGUUUGAUCCCUGAUUGGCGAACUAAAAUCCUACCUGCUGAGCACAGUGGCCAAAUAAAAAGAAAAAGAAAAAAAAAGAGGUGAGUUUUGUGAAUGCUCUUCUCUUUACCAAGACUGCUCACUUGGCAUGGAGUCUUUGAUAAGGUUCCACUUUGAGUGCUGUGUUCUUGGCAUCAUCAGGGCCACACACACGUAGCCAUCAAUAGAUCUUUAGCUCCUCCUAGAUUCGGAGUACUUAUUUCCUGCAGCUGUGUGGUCUCUUUGCUUCUCUUUCCUGCCACACCUGUUUUGAUACAAUCAACCACUUGCUCUAGGAUCUAGGUGUGAUCCCUGACCUGGCUUUGCUCUCUGAAGCAGUUUUAGAAAGAAUCCUCCAGGCAACUUCGUGCAAUAGCAACCACUAAUCCCAAGAGGAAACAGAGGACACAGGAGAAAACGGAGAUUUGCAGAGCACACAUGGAGACAACAGAAAGCCUCAUCGCUUAUUUUGUGCAACAAUCCUCUGAUGUCCUGACCACCGUUGACAGGACCAGACGUGGGGAGGACCUAGGUUGGACCAGAGUCCCCUCCCCAGGGAGUCUAGCCUAACUUCUGGAUACUGUCUUAAAUGGAGACAAUGAAAGCAUGAGACCUAGAUCUGCCAUUUUGCACCGUGUAGCCUGGUCUUCGAAGAAAGUGCCUCUUUAAUGAGAGAAAAAAAAAUAGAGUACAAUCACAGCAAGGGACAGAGAUAAAAAAAGACCUCAGGCUUUCCAGUCCUGCUGCUAGUCCCUGUCGGCUGAGGCUAUAUGUCCCCGCCCAGAAUUUUAAUAACAAUUCAUCCCUUUUCACACUGGCUAAAUCCCUGAUAAGGCUCCUGCUGCUCUUUUAUUAUUAUUAAUUAUUUGUAUUGAAGUAUACACUUUGCUGUACAGUAAAGUGUAUCAGUUAUACGUAUACAUAUAUCUACUCUUGUAUUUUAAAAAGAUUUAUUUAUUGAUUUAUUUUUUGACUGCGGUGGGUCUUCGUUGCUGCAUGCGGGCUUUCUCUACCUGUGGCAGAAAAGCGGAGACUACUCACUAGCUGCAGCACACGAGCUUCUCAUUGCGGUGGCUUCUCUUAUUGUGGAGCAUGGGCCCUAGAGAGCUGGCUCAGCAGUUGUGGUGCAUGGGCUUAGUUGCUCCGCUGCAUGUGGGAUCCUCCCAGACCAGGGAUUGCAUUGGUGUCCCUUGCAUGGCAAGGUGAAUUCUUAACCAGUGGACCACCAUGGAAGCCCAUGUCCACUCUUCUUUAGAUUUCCCUCCCAUUUAGGUCACCACAGAGCGUUGAACAGAGUUCCCUAUGUUAUACAGCCCCUGCUGCUCUGACUCAAGAGAGAGAACCUAGAUUCUACCUUGUUCUGCAAUAUCCCAGCACACAGAGAGUGAAGGGAAAUGAGUAUCCUAAUUCCUAACUCUGAAGGUGGACUGGGGAAGAGGAGAAGGAAUGGAAGGAAGAAUUCAACAUCAGUUGAGCACUUAUUAAUCAAAUGAAAAUAAUUUAUGUGACUCAUUUGGAUAUUUCCUGGCUAUAGCAAAGAAUACUUUAAACAAACAACCAAACAAAUAAAACGCUGAGCCAGGAAUGAAUGAGAGCUCUGAGCGUCACAAUGUUUAGCUUAUAUACCACACCCUCUUUUUCCUUUAUUUAUUUUUUUCCAUUUGCCUUUCCUGCUCACAAGGUUUUACACUGGACUCAGAUGGGAGAAGGCAAUGGCACCCCACUCCAGUACUGUUGCCUGGAAAAUCCCAUGGAUGGAGGAGCCUGUUGGGCUACAAUCCAUGGGGUCGCUAAGAGUCAGACGAAACAGAGCGACUUCACUUUCACUUUCCACUUUCAUAUAUUGGAGAAGGAAAUGGCAACCCACUCCAGUGUUCUUGCCUGGAGAAUACCAGGGACGGAGAAGCCUGAUAGGCUGCAGUCCAUGGGGUCGCACAGAGUCAGAUACAACUGAAGCAACUUAGCAGCAGCAGCAGAUGGUAAAGAAUCUGCCUCCAGUGAAGGAGACCUGGGUUUGGUCCCUGAGUCAGGAAGAUCCCCUGAAGAAGGAAAUGACACCCACUUCCAGUAUUCUUGCCUGGGAAAUCCCAUGGACAGUGCAGCCUGUCCAUGGUGGGCUACAGUCCAUGGGGUUGCAGACAAUCCAACAAGUUUGAGUGACUAAAACUUCCCUUUUCACUUCACUGGGCUCCCAUAAUAAUUAACUCUUGAUCAUAACUUCCUGUAAUACACUAGAGUAAUAUUACUUACUAUAUCUUAUUCAUAUUUGAAUUUCCUUUGAGCACAGAGUAGUUACUUAAAUAUUUGGAAUGAAUGCACAAAGGAAUGAUUAAGUAAAAUGAUAGAAAUUUGGUUAGGAACGUUCUCUGAUAUUAAGUGUUUGAAAGGCUUAUUGAAAAUGUACUGACUUUGAUGAUGAUAAUGAUUUCUCUUGAAGCUAAGCAUUGGCUCCCAUCUGCUUCCAAAGCCAGUGACUUUUAGUUAUGUUUAACUUUUCCUCUCUAAAGGUCAACACAGCUGGAAUUUUAUAUUUUGAAUGAGUCUCUUCCAAUGCUUGUUCUUCAAAAAUACUUUUUCAUAAAUAGUUUGUUCCAGUUGCCAACUGAUUUGUUAAGCGGGUCACUAACCAUCCAAAUCUGAGAAUAUAAGCUUUACUGACUUUGAAACCCAUCAGACAGAACGUUUUUAAAUAUUAGAGGUGGCUGCUGCCAUUGUCCCUGUUUCAAAGCUCUUUAAGACUAAGAUCUCCAAAGCAGAUCUCUUCAAUAAGAAGGUUGAUUUGGAGCCACACUGCAACCUAACUCCACCAGCAAAGUGCACUUCUCACCAAAGACAGAAUGGGGCUUCUUUGUUGUUUUGGAAAAAGGCUUGACUAUCAAGGGAAAUGAGUGAGAAAGUUUUCAUGUUUUCUAUAUAUUCUGUAAAGCACUAUAUACAAACCGGAUUGUAUAGACCAUUUCCCAGGGGAGACAGGCAGUAAAACAAUGAAUUUCAAUGCCUGUCUUCUAGUCUUAACUCCUGCCCAAAUUCUGACACUUACUAGUUGCAUGAUUUUUGAAAAGAAACAAAACGUUUCUGUGCCUUAAUUUCUGUCUCUGUAGAAUAGGAUAAAAGUACUUGCAUUAACAGGUUAUUUUAAGAAUUAAGAGAAUACAUGUAAAACGUCUGCUGUAAUUCCUCGCUUAUAGGGUGGGAGUUCACAUUGAUGAUGAUGAUGGAAGACUUGAUCCAUUGUUUAUACCAUUUUUUUUUUCUAUAUGACAUUGUAUAGGAUAUUUGAUCUCUGUGUCUUAUUAGUCUUUCCUUCUGUAAGAUGGAGAAAAUAGUAGCCUUGUAUUCAAUUACUUGGCCAUAUCAUUAGCAAACAAGGAUUUAAAAAUAGAGGUAACUUGGUACAGUGUGAAAAGGCCUGGGCCCUGGAAGAACUGGAUACAAAUUGUGGUUCUACUAGUUACUAGCUAUGUGGAACUGGACAACUUCCCCAUCUCAUCUUUCCAUAUUUAUAAAAAAUGUCCAUAUUUAUAAAAUGGAAAUAAUAUACAUCUACAGAGAUAGGAUUCAAAUUAAGUAGUGCACAGGAAAGUGAGCUAAAUUGCUAUGCAUGUGUUUGCAGUUAUCAUUACCAAUACCAUACAAGAUUGAUUAUAUUGUCCUUAUUGUUGUUUUGAUAACAGUGUAUUCAGAUUUAAGUUCUCACCCUCUUGGUUGUCUUGCCCAUUGAUAACAUUUUAGCAGUGAUUUACCUCCUGUUCAUAGGUUUUACCCAAUUUUAUUGAUCUCUGAGAAGUAAUGCUUGCUCUCUACGAUAGGUAAGAAUCCUGGAUGCAACAUUCAAACAUAGGCUACACUUUCUAAAAUAUGGUCUGGUGUCUUAAGUGAUACAGUAAAAACAACCUACUGAAAAGCAGCAGUUUGCUAAGAAUAAAGCUUAUUUUCGUGUUUGGUAGGUCACUGCACUUUCUCCUCAGGUAGAUGUAUUCUAAGG